Molecule: long non-coding RNA, 208 nt
Filed under: Coffea arabica (coffee)
Lineage: Eukaryota; Viridiplantae; Streptophyta; Magnoliopsida; Gentianales; Rubiaceae
Description: long non-coding RNA (CARA_LNC005762)
Source: RNAcentral
AGCCAAAUUUUUUACUAGAUCGAAUACUAAUACAACUCUAUGUCCUAGUGUCUUAGUGUAAUAAAUUAAGCAUUUUCUGUGUGGAUCCUUAGACUUCUCAAUUGAAAAUCAAGGUUUUUAAAUAAAGAAGAAAGACCUAAAAGCAAAAUUUUCCAAGAAUUUGUACGUCCACCAAAAAGCAAGGGCCAUUAUUGAAUAACACCAAAAU